UACGUAGGGGGCUAGCGUUGUCCGGAAUCAUUGGGCGUAAAGCGCGUGUAGGCGGUUCGGUAAGUCCGCUGUGAAAGUCGGGGGCUCAACCCUCGGAUGCCGGUGGAUACUGUCGGGCUCGAGUCCGGAAGAGGCGAGUGGAAUUCCUGGUGCAGCGGUGAAAUGCGCAGAUAUCAGGAGGAACACCGAUGGCGAAGGCAGCUCGCUGGGACGGUACUGACGCUGAGACGCGAAAGCGUGGGGAGCAAACAGG
RNAcentral lists this ribosomal RNA (253 nucleotides) under uncultured bacterium. Its description in RNAcentral is "partial 16S ribosomal RNA". It matches the Rfam family "Bacterial small subunit ribosomal RNA", at positions 524 to 776 of the family's 1533-position model. The record is from RNAcentral.